Molecule: ribosomal RNA, 253 nt
Filed under: uncultured bacterium
Lineage: Bacteria
Description: partial 16S ribosomal RNA
Rfam family: Bacterial small subunit ribosomal RNA
Source: RNAcentral
UACGAAGGUCCCAAGCGUUGUUCGGAAUUACUGAGCGUAAAGGGCUCGUAGGUGGCCAACUAAGUCAGACGUGAAAUCCCUCGGCUUAACCGGGGAACUGCGUCUGAUACUGGAUGGCUUGAGAUUGGGAGAGGGAUGCGGAAUUCCAGGUGUAGCGGUGAAAUGCGUAGAUAUCUGGAGGAACACCGGUGGCGAAGGCGGCAUCCUGGACCAACACUGACACUGAGGAGCGAAAGCCAGGGGAGCAAACGGG